UGAAAGAAAUAUCGAAAAUUC
RNAcentral lists this non-coding RNA (21 nucleotides) under Caenorhabditis elegans. Lineage: Eukaryota; Metazoa; Nematoda; Chromadorea; Rhabditida; Rhabditidae. The record is from RNAcentral.